RNAcentral lists this ribosomal RNA (1468 nucleotides) under Staphylococcus aureus. RNAcentral describes it as "bacterial SSU rRNA". It matches the Rfam family "Bacterial small subunit ribosomal RNA". Lineage: Bacteria; Bacillati; Bacillota; Bacilli; Caryophanales; Staphylococcaceae. The record is from RNAcentral.
GUAGGGGGGGGGGGGUGCCUAAUAUAUGCAAGUCGAGCGAACGGACGAGAAGCUUGCUUCUCUGAUGUUAGCGGCGGACGGGUGAGUAACACGUGGAUAACCUACCUAUAAGACUGGGAUAACUUCGGGAAACCGGAGCUAAUACCGGAUAAUAUUUUGAACCGCAUGGUUCAAAAGUGAAAGACGGUCUUGCUGUCACUUAUAGAUGGAUCCGCGCUGCAUUAGCUAGUUGGUAAGGUAACGGCUUACCAAGGCAACGAUGCAUAGCCGACCUGAGAGGGUGAUCGGCCACACUGGAACUGAGACACGGUCCAGACUCCUACGGGAGGCAGCAGUAGGGAAUCUUCCGCAAUGGGCGAAAGCCUGACGGAGCAACGCCGCGUGAGUGAUGAAGGUCUUCGGAUCGUAAAACUCUGUUAUUAGGGAAGAACAUAUGUGUAAGUAACUGUGCACAUCUUGACGGUACCUAAUCAGAAAGCCACGGCUAACUACGUGCCAGCAGCCGCGGUAAUACGUAGGUGGCAAGCGUUAUCCGGAAUUAUUGGGCGUAAAGCGCGCGUAGGCGGUUUUUUAAGUCUGAUGUGAAAGCCCACGGCUCAACCGUGGAGGGUCAUUGGAAACUGGAAAACUUGAGUGCAGAAGAGGAAAGUGGAAUUCCAUGUGUAGCGGUGAAAUGCGCAGAGAUAUGGAGGAACACCAGUGGCGAAGGCGACUUUCUGGUCUGUAACUGACGCUGAUGUGCGAAAGCGUGGGGAUCAAACAGGAUUAGAUACCCUGGUAGUCCACGCCGUAAACGAUGAGUGCUAAGUGUUAGGGGGUUUCCGCCCCUUAGUGCUGCAGCUAACGCAUUAAGCACUCCGCCUGGGGAGUACGACCGCAAGGUUGAAACUCAAAGGAAUUGACGGGGACCCGCACAAGCGGUGGAGCAUGUGGUUUAAUUCGAAGCAACGCGAAGAACCUUACCAAAUCUUGACAUCCUUUGACAACUCUAGAGAUAGAGCUUUCCCCUUCGGGGGACAAAGUGACAGGUGGUGCAUGGUUGUCGUCAGCUCGUGUCGUGAGAUGUUGGGUUAAGUCCCGCAACGAGCGCAACCCUUAAGCUUAGUUGCCAUCAUUAAGUUGGGCACUCUAAGUUGACUGCCGGUGACAAACCGGAGGAAGGUGGGGAUGACGUCAAAUCAUCAUGCCCCUUAUGAUUUGGGCUACACACGUGCUACAAUGGACAAUACAAAGGGCAGCGAAACCGCGAGGUCAAGCAAAUCCCAUAAAGUUGUUCUCAGUUCGGAUUGUAGUCUGCAACUCGACUACAUGAAGCUGGAAUCGCUAGUAAUCGUAGAUCAGCAUGCUACGGUGAAUACGUUCCCGGGUCUUGUACACACCGCCCGUCACACCACGAGAGUUUGUAACACCCGAAGCCGGUGGAGUAACCUUUUAGGAGCUAGCUCGAGAGAGUGAACAAAAGUCCUUC